UCCAGAAUGAACUCAAAUACUAUGUAUAUGUUGUGAUUAAAAAAAUAAGCACAUAAGGUGGUCGAUAUGCUAAUUAGCUUGAUUUAAUCAUUUAAUCAUUAUAUGUGUGUAUAUAUAAUUAAAACAUCACAUUGAAAUAUAUAUACAUUAUACGUCAAUUAAAAUGAAAUAUAUACAAAUAUAUACAUUAUGUGUCAAUUUAAAUGAAAUCUUUUUCAAAAGUAAAUAAAAAGAAGAAAACCACACCUGAAAUCCUGUUCUCAUUUUUAGACUUUGGAGACAUUCUUGAGUGUGUCUCAUCUAUCAGGAAAUAAAUGUGAAUGUUUCUUAACACUGUUAAUGUUAGUCUCAAACUGGAACAACUUCAUAUGGUGGUAUGUAGUGUUACAUAUCUGUGGAAGUAAAUCACAACUACAUGGUUCAACAUGAGUGAAUAUAAAAAGCAGCGUUGAACAAUGAAAGAAAGCUACAGAUGCUUGACAUUGUAUAAUUACAUUUAUAAACAGAUGAAAAUGUGGGCCAAAAUGGCUAAUGUAGUAGGAGUGCAUGCAUAUGUGGAACAGUUGUAACGGAAAGCAAGGGAACAGUGAGUAACAAAUUUAGUUGUUACCCUGUGAAGAGUGACCUGGUGUGAUCUGGUAUGUGCAUGAAAGGACUUUCUAGUUUUCAGUACUGUUCCUGCUGGAAAUGGAUGUGGGUGUUAACCACCCAUGUAGGUGUUUUUAUUUUUCUUUAAACAUCACAUGGGUUUUCAUUUUGUUUUGUUUAAUGAAGGAAAAGUGGUCAAACAUUGUAAGUGACCUGUUGAUAGAAGAAGGUAAUACAUGAUUGGCAGGUAAACAAGGAUCAGCUGAUCAGUAAACAAGGCAGUGCAAAUUAAAACAACCAAAUGUUAUUUCAAACCUAUCAGAGUAGCAAAUUUAAUAAUCUGGAAAACUGAAAUGUCUAGAGGACCCCCAAAUUUUAUACCCUUCUAUUGGAAAUAUCCAUUAUUACCACGACUUUGCAGUGUAAUUUGGCAGUUUCUAAUGAAAACAAAAUUGUGUACUCUGGGAUGUUGUAUUUAAAACUUGAAAAGAGAAAAAAAAAAAAAAAGAAACUAAUGUCCAUCGAUAGGAGCAAGGGUAAGUAAAAUGAACUCUGUAUAUUGAAUAUUUUAUAAUAGUUAACGAAUGUAAACUCGAGGUACAAAUGUCAACAAGGAUUAGGUUUUAAUGUUGUAUUCAGGGAGCUAAAUUAUCUUUCUAAAUCAAUAUUAAAAAUGUGCUCAACAACAAAGUACACCUAGCCAUGCGUGUUCUUAUGUACUUCGUUGUGCUUUCUGUCCCCCUGUUUAUGUGCACAGGUACCCAGUUUUUCAAUUAGAGAAAUAUGUAAGUAGGUAUGAAAAAAAUUCAUGGGACUACCAAACAACAAAGUCACAAUAAUGUUUACCCUUGAGGUAAUAGGAGGGUGAGUGGUGUCAUAUUCUUUGCAAAUUAUACAAAAUGUUAUGAUUGUUUGGUGUAUAGAAGAAUUUUGAGACUUGAAACCCACUGUUCUACAGCUUCAGUACUAAAUGUUUAGAAAACAUUUAUUGAGACAUUUAUUUUUCAAAGAAUGGCAGCUAACAUGUAUUUGGCAGACCCAGCAGAGGGAGCCCACACAAAUCCUGUGUCUAUUUAAUGUGAUUAAAAUUUGUAAUUAAAAAGUUCACACCUGGAACAGUGCUCAGAGAAGCUGUUUUCCUGUUGCGCCUAGAGGUCCUGUUUCAGCAGUUGCGCUGACCCAUGGUCCCUGUGGGUGAAGUGAGGAGUUGUGUCUGCAGUUUCUUGUCAGUCCUGACUUCAGAGUCCUUGUUUCCCUAGUUUGUCCUCAGUCUCCUUUGGUUACAUCCCGUGGGUCACCUCUCUCUGGACUCUCUGUGUCCUGUACAUUCAUGUACCAGCACUUUGUCUUGAAGCUAAGGUGAUUCAUGAUCAGCCUUCCUUCCUGUUUCUGUCUUCAUUAUUAUUUAAAAAAUCCAUUUUCUAAAUGCCUCUUCUUUUUAAAAUUUUUAUGUAAGAAUGUGUGUCUCUCUUUAGUUUCUUCCUUCCUGGGUAGUGGUUUUCAAACUUGGGUGGGUUACCUAGUCCUGGUCCAUGAUCACAUUUUUUUUUUUUCUUUUUAGUUUCUAGGAAAACUGACAAUACAAAAGCAAUGUAGCAAGUUUUAUAAAUGUCUUUCUUCAUUUUAAAGGAUUCUCCUUUGUCUUGAGAUGCUUUCCUUGCACUUUCUUGUGUGUUAACAUACUCUUUCUUUCAUGGAGUGAUAGAGAUUUUAAACACAUGACUGCAUUUGGCAGAUUAAAUCAUUGCUUAUUCAUUAACACAGAUUUGCUUAAUCUAGUCCCUAGACCUUUAUUGAAAUUUUUACCAGUCUAUGAAAUACAGAACUUUAGAUUCUUAUAAAUGAACACAAUAGUUAGGAAGACAUUCUAAAUAUUACAUGGUAAAUAUAUAAUUCAUGAGUAUUUACACAGAAACAAAGACAAGUGGUUUUACAGAAGAAUGAUAAGAGAAUGGAGAAAUAAGCUUUCAUUAUAAUUUUGAUUACACCACAUUACUGAAAUGGUACUUCAGACACUUGUGUUUAACCACUGCCCCCUUUUAAAAAAUUGUCAUGAUCACUCUUUGUCUGUGUAGGAGUGGGGGAAGGGCUUCUCAUCUUGGCUGUGCCCCUUGCCUGUAGUGAUUGCUAGUAGAGUGGGCAUCCUUCAUUUUGAACAAGCCCUUUGGCAUUCUUUGUGGUUUCCUUGUCAGAAACUGCUCUUAUUUAUCAUUAGAAAAUUUCACUUUUGCUCCCUUUGAUGUUCUCUCCCACUUUCCAGAUGGUUCAUUAGAACCCUCCUGCUCCUGGGCUUCACGUUCUGAGCUUCCCCACUGUUACUCUUGUGGUGAGCCAAAGGUAGUCUCUUUAUUCCUGCAUUUGGCCCUGAAUCACUUUUUCUGUCUUUCCGUGAAUGACAGGGUUUUAUUCUUCACCAUGUGGUUAUUGGGUUUCCUUAAUAGCCUCAUGUGGAGGGGCUUUAUUGAGGGCAUUUUAAUUUGGCCUUGAUAGAUUAUAGUCACCAUGUUUCUCUAAUCUCUUCUUUAAAAAUCUUUUAGGCAGAACUCCCCCUGUCAGACACACUUGAAUUGAAACAGAUUUCCUUUAUUUUUUUCUCCCUCUGCCCAAAUGUUUACUUAGUUCUAUCUGAACAGUGAAGUAAAAGGUAACUGGUCACAGCAGGAGUCCAGGGUCCAUUGGAUUUGAGUAUUUGAGUAAUACCUCAUUAUUGCAGGACAAAUGGAGAUUUGGAUGACCAUUUGAAGAGUAGGCCUCUUCUCUGUCGCACAGGGCUUUUGCAGAUAAUUAAUUCUUGCUCAGGAUAAGAAAGACACUAUACAUCUCAGCCUGAGAUCCAUUAUUACACUAUAUAUUAUUUCCUGUAACUAUCACUGUUGCUUUCGCAGCUCACUGCUUUGAAGUUUAUAUAUCUUCAGUGUCUCCAUCUGGUUAGUCGUUCCUUUAGGGUGCCAUGCCAUCUUCUUUGUGUUUCCUGUAUAUGACCCAAGACCCUGAACAGAGUGGCAGUUAAUAGAUGCACUAGGAUGUCUUCUCCAUUUUGGACUGCCAGCUUAAGCUCUGCAAAAGAUGGCAACUGAGAUAUGUAACUGCAUAGUAAUUUACCUGUCUGCUUUUGUGGUCUGAACUCCUCAGCAUUCUUAUAUCUAGUUUUCUUGCUUCAGCCUUCUAGAGGUACAGGUGUAUAGGUAAGGGCCCAAUCACCAGGCAGAAAUCACACUGUGGCUGGAUCAGGGAAAGUAAAAUAUUAAGAUUUAUUUUCCAGGUGUGGUUGCACAUGCCUGUAAUUGCAGCAACUUCAGAGGCUGAAGCAGGAGGAUCGGAAGUUAAAAGCCAGCCUUAGCAAUAUAGGGAGGCCCUAAGCAACUUAGCAAGACUUUGUACUGAAAUAAAAAAUGGGCUGGGGAAGUGGUUCAGGACUCCUGGGUUCAAUUUCUUUUACCAAAAAAAAAUAUUAAAAUAGCUCAGAAGUAGCGGUGGUAGGCUGGUGGAACUGCUGGAACAACACCCUGACAUUUUAUGAUAAUAUGCCUUCUAGGUGCUGGCAAAGGAUGUUUGGUGAGAAGUGUCUUGUAGGAAGCACAGUGGUAUGAAAGUAACCCAAAGGAAGAGCUGACCUUUCUGGGAACUCCUUGGGGAGCUGAGUACUGCAGCCUGCACUGCAGGGCUGGACACUGGAGCCCAGAGGACUCAGCACAAAGUCCUUCCUUUGCAACAUCUCUGCAGUGACCUCUAUUGACAGAGCCUAACAUUUUGUCAGCUGGCAAAGGACAAAUUUUUCAGGGGCCAACUCAGUUUCCACAAAGUAGGCCUUGAUUUGUGGCUUAGAAGCAACAAAUUAAAAAGUGGUAGAGUCAGCUUUCAACCUCUUCUGAAUGUCUAGAAGCCUUUAGGGAGAUAGGCUGUUAUUCAUCCAAUAAAUGGGUUGCCAGGGGAAGUCACAAUUAAGGAGGGAAAGAUAAUUGUUCUUAAUUCUGAUUUGAUAUUUCUGAGUAUAAUUUGGUAGUGGAGAAGCUUUCUAGUUAUUAAUUCUUAUUUUAUAGAACAACUAAAGGAGAGAGGAUAUUCUGAAGGGUAAAAUCCUAUAUUCCUGAACCAGCUAUAGCUUCGGAAGAGAAACACAUGAAUAUCCUUUAUAUUCCUUUCCUCCAGGAUCUCAAGAAAAUUCCUGCUAUUUACAUUCUACAUUUGCUGUUGAAAGCUAAGAGUGCCUCAUUAGGUUUUACUGAAUUCACAUAAUUACAGUAACAAUGUCUUUUUUACUAGCCUAAGUGAUAUGUGAAAGUAGCAGAAAUAUUUUCACAACAAUAUUAUGCUCUUUCACAGACUUCGCACCUUGCCAGGGACAGCAUUUCUUUGCCUGGUGCAUAUUACUGAAUGCUUCUUCUCUGGAUGGAGUGGCAUAAUUUCACAUUUUCAGCCUGGUAGGUGCAGGUGGGUAGUAGGUGAGAGGCAUUAUCAGCCAACCUCUGAACCACCCAUGAUGCAGUCCUUUGAACUGUAUGUUCAGAUCACCAAGUCUAUUCCUCGAUGUAAAAAAUGGUUUUCCUGCUGAUUGACUUAUAAUGUACCCUUUACCAGGUCCUUUUGGUGUUUUCUUAGAUUUCUUCUUCUUCUUCUUCUCCUUCUCCUUCUCUCUCUCGUACCAGGGAUUGAACAUAGUGGUGCUUACCCACUGAGCCACAUCUACAUCGCUUUUUUAUAUUUUAUUUAGGGAAAAGGUCUUGCUGAGUUGCUUAGAGUCUUGCUAAGUUACUGAGGCUGACUUUGAACUUGCAAUCCUCCUGCCUCAGUCUCCUUAUCCUCUGGGAUUAUAGGCAUGUACCAUUCACCUGACUCUUCUGAAUUCUUGUCCUGGACUUUCUAAUGCCAUUCUCUUGCCUUGAUUUAUCCUAGAGCGGAUCUCUCUGAAAUCAUAAACUCUUUAUUAAUCCAACAGAUUUCAGAGAUUCAAAAAAAAAAAAACUUCUUAAAUUAGAUAUACCUUUUUAACACAAUGUUAUUUUUUAGCUAUUUUUUCAGCAAUGAGACCUUGUAAUUUUGAAUGGGAUUGAGAGCAUUCCAUCAUAGCAAUGAUUUCUAUGAUUUCAAAUUAUUGCUAUGAUUUCUAACCACCUUUCGUCAUUUUAGAAUCCAGUGAGAGCUAUGGGCAGUCCCCACAAAUAUACCUACUUGAAUAUAUACAUGGAGGGUUUUGUGUGUAGUUUAAGGUUUUUUCCAGGCUUCUGGAUUACAUUAUGUAAUUUGAAGUCAGUGUAAAUGUUAAAGAGAUAGUUUCAACCUCUAAGUGAAUAAUUCCCAUGCUAAAUCUGUUUGUAAAGUGGAAAAACAAUUCUUUCUCUCCCUACUUACAGGAUGGCAGAGAAUGCUGCUAAAUUUGAGAAUGACCAGAUGUGACCUGCUGAGAUGAUUUGAGAAUCAGGUUCCAAAACAGGAGUUAAGAAUCAGUGGUGUGUAGGAACAAAGGUUGAGUUGAGUGUGUUUGGGAAAGCCAAGAAAAUAGUUUCUGAAAGGCAUUAUACAUUAAUAUAUGCUAUUGGGUUUAUUAUAUAUCCCAUAUCAUUUCUUCCCUAUAGCAAGGAUCUUUCCUAAGUAGUAGCCAUUUCACAAUGAAGAAAUAGAAAUAGUUGGCCAGUGAAGACAGAGAUACCUGGAAAUCAGACUCAGAUACAGAGUUGGGUAGCAUGAAUCCUGUGGGGAAUAGGUCCUACUACACAUCGAGUAAAAGUUGACCCUUGGAGUUCUGUUAUGUGUUGGAGUUUAAAUAAUUUGUUGUAUUUUGUGUAGUUUGAGUUAAGCUUACGUCAAAACAGAGAAGGUUUUAUGUUAGCCAAAUGGAAAUAAUAACUUUCUAACCAUAAGGAUUCUGAGAGAGAGAACAAAUUUUAAGGGAACUUGGGUUUACCUUCUUCAGAUUGAUGGUUCUCAGUUUUUAAUUAUUUUUUCUUUUUUUUAGGUCACAGACUUCUAGAUAAGGUGCCCUGAUUUUAUUUCUACUUUCAGGCAAAAGAAACUCAGUGACAACAAUGAUAUAUCUCUUGUUGGGGAAUUUUGUGGGUUCUUCAGAGGAGCAGAACCAAUUAAGACAUACAAAAGAUCUAUUAUAAGGAAUGGCUCACAUGGUUUUGGAAUCUGUAGUUCCAUCUUGAGCCUGAAGGUCCGACAAUCAGCGGAGACAAUGGUGCGAGUUCCAGUUUGAGUCUGAGAACCUGGAGACUCUGUGUCAAUUUGGAAAGAAGUAGAGAGAAAAUUCUUUCUUCCUCUUCCUUUAAUUGUAUUCAGGUGUUCAAUGGAUUAGGCAAAGCUACCACAUUGAGGCAGUGUGCUUCACUCAUUCUGCCAAAUCAAGCCUUAUUCUCAUCCAGAAACGCCCUCAACAGACACCUAGAGUAAUGUUUCACCUGAUUUCAGCAUUCUGAGGCCCAGAUGACACAUGGCAUGAGUUGUCACACUGUUCUUGGACAUCUGUCACCAUGGUGGAAUAUGGAGCAGCCCCAGUCAGUUCUACGAACUACUAAAUUCUGUUCUAUAAAUGCCUCUUUUUAGUAACUCCUGGCACAUCACUUAGUCAGUUACUUAGUAAAGAGUGCUUAUCUGUACAUGAAGGUGUAAAAAUAUGGAAUUAUGCCAUUUUUGGCCUUUAAGACUGAAUAAAGUUGAACUUUUG
Molecule: long non-coding RNA, 7252 nt
Organism: Marmota monax (woodchuck)
Lineage: Eukaryota; Metazoa; Chordata; Mammalia; Rodentia; Sciuridae
Exons: 2
Source: RefSeq, a predicted model, not a curated record